GACGAACGCUGGCGGCGUGCCUAACACAUGCAAGUCGAGCGAGUGAAUCUCCUUCGGGAGUGCAGCUAGCGGCGGACGGGUGAGUAACACGUGCGCAACCUGCCUCAUAGAGGGGAAUAGCCUUCCGAAAGGAAGAUUAAUACCGCAUAAGAUUGUAGCUUCGCCUGAAGUAGCAAUUAAAGGAGCAAUCCGCUAUGGGAUGGGCCCGCGGCGCAUUAGCUAGUUGGUGAGGUAACGGCUCACCAAGGCGACGAUGCGUAGCCGACCUGAGAGGGUGAUCGGCCACAUUGGGACUGAGACACGGCCCAGACUCCUACGGGAGGCAGCAGUGGGGAAUAUUGCACAAUGGGGGAAACCCUGAUGCAGCAACGCCGCGUGAGUGAUGACGGCCUUCGGGUUGUAAAGCUCUGUCUUCAGGGACGAUAAUGACGGUACCUGAGGAGGAAGCCACGGCUAACUACGUGCCAGCCGCCGCCGUAA
This 480-nucleotide ribosomal RNA is filed under the name uncultured bacterium. Its description in RNAcentral is "partial 16S ribosomal RNA". It matches the Rfam family "Bacterial small subunit ribosomal RNA", at positions 28 to 523 of the family's 1533-position model. The record is from RNAcentral.